Cricetulus griseus (Chinese hamster) is the source of this 77-nucleotide microRNA precursor. Ensembl annotates it as microRNA 125b-1. Its record names the gene Mir125b-1. Lineage: Eukaryota; Metazoa; Chordata; Mammalia; Rodentia; Cricetidae. The record is from Ensembl.
UGCGCUCCCCUCAGUCCCUGAGACCCUAACUUGUGAUGUUUACCGUUUAAAUCCACGGGUUAGGCUCUUGGGAGCUG